UGGGGAAUAUUGGACAAUGGGGGAAACCCUGAUCCAGCGACGCCGCGUGGGUGAAGAAGGCCUGCGGGUUGUAAAGCCCUUUCGGUUGGGAAGAAAAGUUGCGACCUAACACGUCGCGACCUUGACGUAACCAACUAAAGAAGCACCGGCUAACUCUGUGCCAGCAGCCGCGGUAAUACAGAGGGUGCGAGCGUUAAUCGGAACUACUGGGCGUAAAGCGCGCGUAGGCGGCUUGGCAAGUCGGGUGUGAAAUCCCCGGGCUCAACCUGGGAACUGCAUUCGAGACUGCUUUGCUAGAGUAUGGGAGAGGGAAGUGGAAUUUCCGGUGUAGCGGUGAAAUGCGUAGAUAUCGGAAGGAACAUCAGUGGCGAAAGCGACUUCCUGGACCAAUACUGACGCUCAUGUGCGAAAGCGUGGGGAGCAAACA
This 427-nucleotide ribosomal RNA is filed under the name uncultured bacterium. RNAcentral describes it as "bacterial SSU rRNA". It matches the Rfam family "Bacterial small subunit ribosomal RNA", at positions 355 to 774 of the family's 1533-position model. The record is from RNAcentral.